Molecule: non-coding RNA, 3498 nt
Organism: Physcomitrium patens
Lineage: Eukaryota; Viridiplantae; Streptophyta; Bryopsida; Funariales; Funariaceae
Source: RefSeq, a predicted model, not a curated record
AAGAGUCUCUAGUGUUUGAUCAGAGAACGUCGUUCUCGUAAUAGGGAACGAGAUUGUAGCCGCAAAGGGGUGUCAACCUUAAGGGUGAGAGCAACUGCUAACACCCCCUUUUGCUCGCAACACUUCUUUAGCUCUAUGAUGGACCGAAUUCGUCAAGUGCGGGAUUUGUGAGCUACUGUUUCAAAUUGUUUGUCCGAGUGGAUGAUCGAUUCCAUUGCUAGAGUUUAACAAGUGACUGGAAUGAAGGCAGGCGCAGGUCGUCUUGGUGCUGUUUUGGUCGAUUCUGUUGAUUGUACACCAAUGCGUCGCAGAGCUUGUUUCCGUUAUGGAUUGGAUAGUUUUUCGUGAGCAGCAUCGAGAACUGGUGAGGCCAGUGCGAACGUCGCCCAGUCGCCAGGAUGGUCGGCACUCUUCUAGUUCGGCGGCAACCUCGUCAGCAGAGACUUCUUCGGAUCUUGUGAGUUGUUACUAUGCGGUGCGGAUGGGAAGACGAACUGGAAUUUUUACUUCUUUAUCAAAGUGUAGGCGCAAAGUGGUUGGAUACCGUGGCGCUUAGUAUAAGAGCUUUAGGAGUAGAGAGGAGGCAUGUGACUAUCUAGGUUCUAGAACGUAGGAUCUGGUGUCAUCUAUGUAGUAAUUUGAGAGUAGGUUUGUAUUUCAUCAAGGGUUCUAAAGCUGAUUUUGUUUUUGCAUUUUUCAAACUUAGCUCUUCCAAGAGCUUUUGUUAAUAUAUCCGCAAUUUGAUCGGCAGAAGUUUUGAAUUGUACCUGGAUUGUGCCUUCUUCCACUUUCUGUUGUGUGAAAUGCAGAUCUAUUUCAAAAUGUUUUUUUCUGUCAUGGAAGACUGGGUUUUUUGUUACUUAGAUAGAGCUCUGGUUAUCACACCAAAUAGUUGUGGGUGUGUCAUCUCUGAAUCCAAGUUCGUAUAUCAGUCAACGUAGCCAAAUUGAAUCCAAGUUCGUAUAUCAAUCAACGUAGCCAAAUUGCUUCACAGGUGGCUUUGGCUAGUGCCCUAUAUUUGGACUCACAUGAGGAUCGUGAUGUGAUGUUGUGUUUUUUUAACUGCACCACGAGAUUGGGGAGCUGCCGCAAAGAAAGAUGAAUGCUCCGGUGGACGUGUGGUCAUUUGGAUUACCAGCGUAAUCGGCAUCAGAGUAUCCCGAGAGGAGUAGUUCCUUCUCUUUCCAGAUCGAGGGAUGGGGCAAAAGGUACCAUAGAAAGUCAAGUGUUGCCUGGAGAUGUACCUGCUGGGGUCGAUGCAUGUAGCGGCUUACUACCGAGACUGCGAACCCGACGUCCCAUCGGGACUUGAGCAAAUAAUUCAGUUCGCCGACCAAGCGUUGGAAGAGCCAGAGAUCGACCGUUGAGAAAUGCGGUUGAUACGUCCAUGUGAUGGACGAGCCAACCAUGAUGAGCAUAGAGAGCUGUGACCGUGCGAAUCGACUCCAAGCGGACGGUAGGGGCAAACGUUUCUUGGUAGUCAAUUCCAUGGACGUGCUUUGUAUCGGGCAAUUUCUCCAUGUGUAUCGGGUUUUAAUUUAUAAACCCAGCGGGCCGUAAUGGGGCGGAUGCUGCUAGGUGGAGGGACAAGGUCCCACGUAUGAUUAGCUACGAUAGCGGUAUAUUCUUUCAUCAUCGCUUGAGCCCAUCGGGGAUUGCCGGCAGCCUGGGUGUAUGAGAGGGGCUUGCCACCCUCUUUAAUUACGCCGACGAAGGUUUCGGUGAGAUGAAGAGGAAUGUAGUCAAUGUGAAAUGCUGGGGGGUGGCGAGGCCGAUCAAAGUCGCGGGGGGGGGUCACAGGCUGUGGAUGAAGAGGAAGAUAGGGAGUUGAGGGAGUCCGACGAUGCAGUCGGGACGAGAGCCAUGCGCAGAUCCAGCGGAGCGAGAAGAGGUGCGGGACUCGGUGUCCGACUUUGAGGAUGUGGAAUACCAAAAAAGAAUACUUGCUGGGAUGGAGGGAGAAGAGCAGGGGCCGCGCGUGGUGUGGAUUCGUCGAGAGAGCGAAUAUCUUUGGAAACGAUGACUCGGCGGGUAGAUGGGUCAAAACAGCGAGCACCCUCGGUGUGGUCAUCGGGACCUUGAUAAAUGCAUUUUUGUGAUCGACAGGCUAGUUCAUGGCGGGUCGGGGUAGUAUCGACUACAAAGACAGAGAGCGGCUGCGAUCGGUUGUGAGUGUGCGGCAUAGUGGUUUGGUGACGUCGACGGUUGAGCUGCAGGCCGUCGAAAAGUGUGAUCGAGAAUCUUGGUGUUGGUGACGGUGUCGCCGGAUUACGUCAUCUCCGUUUACUUCUAUUCGGGUGCCAGAUUGAAUACAUUGAGUUGACUUCCGCUCGUGAGUACGUGGAUGUAGUGCUACUAGGAGAGCGGUAUUUUUGCAGCUACUCGACCUAGUCAUCGGUACUUCAUCCGCGGCUGUUGCAACUGGUCGAAGGACAGGGCGUAGUCAUUGUUCCAAGGAUCAUGCAAAGCUGGAGUCUGCGUUAUGGAGCUGUUUCAAAAGCGUCCUGGAGCGAUUGACGUUGCGGUGUUCUAGUGUGGACUGAUGCGUGUCGAUUGCAGUGUUAGAUCUGGUUUUGCUGUGGCGUAAAUUAUCAUUCAGCAGCGGGGCGGUAUUCGAGUCCUUCCGCCCCUAGUGUCAACGUGCAAGGCUUCCAUUCCAGCGUGGGAAGCUACGGUCGGGCUGAGCCAUUCAUCGUCGACGUGAUCCGGCGCACUUGCAGCGCCGUCGAUUUCAGCCGGUGAUUGAUUUGAUUCGACUUUUACUCGUGUUCUUUUUAUUUGGUGUUGCAAAGCUCGACCUCGACUCGUCUUGGCACUAGAGCGGCUAGUGAAUCAAGUGUUGUGUUUUUUUCCUCGAUGCGAAUUUGGUAUUGCCGUGGUGGCGUUGUAUUGGAUACCAGAGGCAUUGGAUCCAAUUCAUCUAUUCUAUUGAAUUGUGAUCUAUAUUCUUGAGGAGCUAGUGGGUCGUUUUUUCCCACAAUUACAAGAGGGAGUUGGCCGACUUUCCUUCAAUCGCGGCAAUUAAACAGAGAUUGGCAAGUUCCAAGUUGUUAAGUGGACCAGUCUGCAAGCGGCGAUCUUGCGUUGCUUUUUGGUUUUCUUCCAAGCUGUUGUGGAAGGAAUUCAGAUUGGUGGCGGCCGAUGUUCCAGCUAUUGGGUUGAUGAUUCUUUGCUCCUUGCAUUGAGCAAGCAGUAACUAUUACUGCCAAAUUAAUCAAGAGGCUGGUUCCCACAUCGAGCAAGUGCGGUUCGGUCUAGUGGUCAAAAAGCUCGCUAGUAGUGAAUGUUGAGUAUAGACGCAUUUAUAUUUUAUCACACAGCUUGGAAGUGUAUCUGAGUUGCACGACCAGCCCAUAGGACUAAUAACUGUGUGGAAUUAGACAACAAAGUAAACCGUAUUGUAAUUUCUUAAUCAUGCUCUCUCUUGUGCCAAGGCCAAGACUGGCUGGAGCGUGUUGGAUCAAUGUGAUACCAUUCUAAUAAAUUAAUUUUUUAGUC